AAUUCAGAAAACAUGUUCAUUAAAUCGGUGGUUGUUCAAACUGAAUUCAAACAAUAUUGUUGAGUGAGAUAUUCAGAAUGCUUUUGGAAAAAUAACUGUUAUCUGGCCGUCAAACUUUCGACGAGAGAGGCUUGAUUGGCUGCACUUAGUAUUUAAGCAUGUGAAUUGUCGCCGAGUUCUUGUUCAAAUGGUUUUCUCCUCUAGCUUUCUUGAUGACUGGUUUAUUUAUUUAUUUUUUCUCUGUUAUCUUUGUCAAGCAGGUAAUUGUGGGUUUUUAAAAAUUGUUGCAA
RNAcentral lists this unclassified non-coding RNA (290 nucleotides) under Hevea brasiliensis (rubber tree). The record is from RNAcentral. Lineage: Eukaryota; Viridiplantae; Streptophyta; Magnoliopsida; Malpighiales; Euphorbiaceae.